This 443-nucleotide ribosomal RNA is filed under the name uncultured bacterium. Its description in RNAcentral is "partial 16S ribosomal RNA". It matches the Rfam family "Bacterial small subunit ribosomal RNA", at positions 338 to 795 of the family's 1533-position model. The record is from RNAcentral.
CCUACGGGAGGCAGCAGUGGGGAAUAUUGGGCAAUGGGCGCAAGCCUGACCCAGCAACGCCGCGUGAAGGAAGAAGGCUUUCGGGUUGUAAACUUCUUUUCUCAGGGACGAAGAAAGUGACGGUACCUGAGGAAUAAGCCACGGUUAACUACGUGCCAGGAGCAGCGGCAAUACGUAGGUUGCAAGCGUUAUCCGGAUGUAUUGGGUGUAAAGGUCGUGUAGGCGGGAGCGCAAGUCAGAUGUGAAAACUAAGGGCUCAGCCAUGAGCCUGCAUUUGAAACUGUGUUUCUUGAGUGCUGGGGAGGCAAUCGGAAUUCGGUGUGUAGCGGUGAAAUGCGUAGAUAUACGGAGGAACACCAGUGGCGAAGGCGGAUUGCUGGACAGUAACUGACGCUGAGGCGCGAAAGCGUGGGGAGCAAACAGGAUUAGAUACCCCUGUAGUC